RNAcentral lists this ribosomal RNA (522 nucleotides) under uncultured bacterium. RNAcentral's name for it is "bacterial SSU rRNA". It matches the Rfam family "Bacterial small subunit ribosomal RNA", at positions 355 to 891 of the family's 1533-position model. The record is from RNAcentral.
CGAGGAAUCUUCUACAAUGGGCGCAAGCCCGAUAGAGCAACGCCGCGUGGAGGACGACGGCCUUCGGGUUGUAAACUCCUUUCGGGGGGAUGAUACGGACAGUACCCCCAGAAGCAGCCCCGGCUAACUCUGUGCCAGCAGCCGCGGUAAGACAGAGGGGGCAAGCGUUGUCCGGAUUGACUGGGCGUACAGCGCGCGCAGGCGGGGGCGUAUGUGCCGUGUGGCAGUCGGGAGCUUAACUCCCGCCGGCCACGGUAGACAGCGGCCCUGGAGGCAGGGAGAGGGAUGUGGAAUACCCGGUGGAGCGGUGAAAUGCGUAGAGAUCGGGUGGAACACCAGGGGCGUAGGCGACAUCCUGGCCCUGGACCUGACGCUGAGGCGCGAGAGCGUGGGGAGCGAACCGGAUUAGAUACCCGGGUAGUCCACGCCGUAAACGAUGUGGACCCGGCGCUGGGGGGUGAUUGCGCCCUUCGGUGCCUGAGCUUACGCGAUGAGUCCACCGCCUGGGGACUACGGCCGCAA